CCUANGGGGGGCAGCAGUGGGGAAUUUUGGACAAUGGGGGCAACCCUGAUCCAGCCAUGCCGCGUGAGUGAAGAAGGCCUUCGGGUUGUAAAGCUCUUUCGGCGGGGACAAAACGGCCAACGCGAAUAACGUUGGUUAAUGAUGGUACCCGAAGAAGAAGCACCGGCUAACUACGUGCCAGCAGCCGCGGUAAUACGUAGGGUGCGAGCGUUAAUCGGAAUUACUGGGCGUAAAGCGUGCGCAGGUGGUUUCGUAAGUCAGAUGUGAAAGCCCCGGGCUCAACCUGGGAAUGGCAUUUGAGACUGCGAAGCUAGAGUACGGCAGAGGGAGGUGGAAUUCCACGUGUAGCAGUGAAAUGCGUAGAUAUGUGGAGGAACAUCGAUGGCGAAGGCAGCCUCCUGGGCCAGUACUGACGCUCAUGCACGAAAGCGUGGGGAGCAAACAGGAUUAGAUACCCCGNUANUC
RNAcentral lists this ribosomal RNA (465 nucleotides) under uncultured bacterium. RNAcentral describes it as "bacterial SSU rRNA". It matches the Rfam family "Bacterial small subunit ribosomal RNA", at positions 338 to 795 of the family's 1533-position model. The record is from RNAcentral.